Molecule: long non-coding RNA, 960 nt
Organism: Chinchilla lanigera (long-tailed chinchilla)
Lineage: Eukaryota; Metazoa; Chordata; Mammalia; Rodentia; Chinchillidae
Exons: 3
Source: RefSeq, a predicted model, not a curated record
AACCUAAAACCAGGAGCUCUUCAAAAUACCAAUCUAUUUCCAGCUACUGCCCUAGAAAUUUAAACGUAUGAGAAAAAUUCUGUACCAUGAGCAUGAGAGGCUGGAAGAGACCAUGUGCGAAACACAAAAAGAAGAUGAAUUUCAAAGAGGGCCCAUGGUCUCUCGGAAUUAGCCCAGGGAGACCUUGAGCAAAGAAUCCAGCCAUGGCCCGCUGGGCUUCAGGCCUAAUUAUGAAACUGUAAAUAUAAAUCCAUAUUUUCUAAUGCUGCCGCAUAUUUUCUGAGGCUUUAGAAAACUAACAGAAUAGUAUUAAUCAAUCAUCUUUGAUCUUCUACAAGUGAAGUACAGUAUUCUCAGGAUCCUAGACAGUGGCAGUGAGCUGUAGCUCCCCAUCAACCACAGGAAGACGAAGGCAAAUAGCCGUUGCUGUCUGUGUGUAGUGCUGAACUUCGAUAUUUGGAACACUCCAAUGAGCAAGAUGGCUGCUUUAUUAACUGAUUAUUACAAACUUUACUGGAAUUUAAUGUGAGGAUCUACUUCACUGAAAGAGAUCACUGGAGUACAAAAUUUUGUUUAUCAGCUUCCACAAACAGGAAGAUUGGAGUGAAUGAUGAGGAAUAAAUCCACAGUACCCCCUUGAGCCUCACUUGGGGAAAAGAACUUCUCUUCCCUGUGCAAUUUAUUACAUCCAGUGUCACUGUUCACCUUCUCUCUCCCAGCACAGUGAUGGGUCCAUAAUGGAUGUGGCCAACUACAAGAUCUGAUCACCCUCUUUAUUCUUACUGUAGUUCCAGAUAUACAAAUCACUCUCCAGGAGUUUUCUCACAAACUUGUGAAGGAUGCCACAAAAUGGCCAUGUUAUUACUAAAUUGCUGGUAUAGAUGACUGACAGACUCUUAGUAGUCAUUGGAUGUCCAUGUGAGAGGAUUAAUUCAAAGAGAAAUAAAGAGGUUAAGACCA